CAGGCUGACCUUCGAAACUACUCUGGGACGUAAGUCAGCACAGCAGGCAACGCAGUUCAGGGCAAUUACAGGCACAGCUCAAGUAUUUACAGGACACAGCAUUGUAAGAGAACGACCUUUCCGGAAUUUCUGAGGGAACAGUUAGAUCCUGCCACGGUGGUGGCCCAUCAGCGGUGGGGAAAGACCAAUUGCUCCUGAGGGUGGAAAAUAAUUUUGCAGGUCAAGCUAGUGAGGGAUGGCAUUUCUGCUUGCACUACAUGCAAAGCUGAAUGAGCUUGCUACGGUAUUUUUUUUUCCAUGAUUUCCUCAUGACAAUGUUGUGGUUUACUUUAGCAGGGGGUGGAAAGCUGAUAAGUAUAAUUGCUGAAUCACAGGAUGUAUAGGAUGUAAAUAUUUGCAGGGCAAUUAAAAACCAUUUGCCUCUUUUGCUUCUUAAAGUAAAAGGCAUGACUCAACAGCAAGCGGGUGGAGAUUUUUUUUUUCAAAAAUGUAGACAAGAUUUCAAGUGGCGAGGAUAUGAAAUGGUUUAUUGAACACUGCUUCUGUGGUCUGGUCCGAUGUAAUGCUGGAGGAAAAAGAGCACAGUAUUGUGGAUUAGGAGAAAUGUGUCAUCAAAUAACUAAAAAUAACUUUCAAGAGAACACCCCGAGGUUAUAAAUGAUCACGGUGUGUGGUGCUGUCAAUUAUCAACCCAAGCAGGGGCAUCCUUUGCGGGGGGGGUGGUGGUGUCUAACCGCCAAGUCGCUAUUGUAACAAGCCAUGGAAGGUGCCUCAUUCACACCACCUGUAGGAUGGCAGUUAAAAUAGCCAUGUCAGUAGACUCACAGCUAAUAAUGCCAGUUUUCUGGUUGUUUCUACAAACAGUUUUUCUUUUCAGCUCUUAUCUGGUCCAUAUGUAAAGAUCUCCUAUGUCUCACUCUAUAUUCCAAGUAAUAUUUUGAUUGCAUUUGAUUCAUCAAUUGAAUUGCUAACAUUCUGAUCUUUACUACCAGUAGAGAUGGAAAAAAAAUUACAUUCUACAUAUGUAGAGCAUGUUGGGCUUGCAUGAGGUAGGAAAGAAGAGGAUUAAACAGUACUCUGAUACUCCUAUGGCAAGGUUAAAAUUCACACACUACAAUUUAGAUGUGCAGAAAUAGUCAUUUAUUAUGUCCUAGGACAGACCUCAUUUUGCCCUGGAUCAUCUAUUUCUCUGAUUAAAAAUGAAUUUUAUAUAUAUAUAUGUAUAUUCCAAGCAACCAAGCAAACAGAAAACCCCCGAUGAUGAAUGGUAACUUUGUCUCCUGUGGUUAUAAAGGCUCAGAUUAAUUCAAUCUCUUUAGGGUAUAAAUCAUCAUUUUGGAGUUUUGGGGGGUUUAAGAUUUUAUUCAUUUGAGAGAGAGAGAGAGAGAGCGAGCGCGCACCAACUGAGGGUGAGUGGGAGAGGGAGAGGUAGACACCCAAUGAGCAGGGAGCCUGACCCAGGGCUCAAUCCCAGAACUCUGGGAUCAUGACCUGAGCUAAAGGCAGACGCUUCACCGAUUGAGCCACCCAGGCACCCUCAUUUUGGAGUUCUUACCUCUUUUGUGCUAUUAGGAGCAUAUCUAAGGACAUACAAUCUCAUGGGCACAAGGAAAAGGGAACUUUGAUCCACACAGCACACACUGCUAGCCCUGCUGAUUCUAACUGAUGAAUAACCGGUGAGUCUUGGCAUAGGUCUCGCUCUGAAAUUUCAGCAUACAUUGUGGAUUAUGGCUCUAAGGUCUGUGUUCACAAGGUAAGCAGAGUGACUGCUCCCAUGAAGCUCAAUAAACUCCUUGUGGUUUCACAUUUUGAUUUUUGCUGGCAGCAUGGAUGCUUUGAAAUUUAGUGGCCUUUCCUUGGGGCUCUUUCACUUUGCACUGGUUUCCUCACUCCGAACCAGGACAACCCUUUUGCAGUUAAGCCUAAUUUUAUUUAGUUAUGCUUAUUUAAGAUUUUUUUUUUUUUUUGAGAAAGCAAACAGAGGGGAGGGGCAGAAGGAGAGGGAGAGA
RNAcentral lists this long non-coding RNA (2009 nucleotides) under Canis lupus familiaris (dog). RNAcentral's name for it is "lncRNA (ENSCAFG00845028416.1)". The record is from RNAcentral. Lineage: Eukaryota; Metazoa; Chordata; Mammalia; Carnivora; Canidae.